UACACGUGGCUAAUCCUGCCCUACGGAGGACGAAUACCCUCGGGAAACUGAGACUAAUAGUCCAUACGGCUCCCACGCCGGAUUGCGGGGAGCCCGAAACGGUCCGCCGCCGUAGGAUGAGGCUGCGGCCGAUUAGGUCGACGGUGGGGUAACGGCCCACCGUGCCGAUAAUCGGUACGGGUUGUGAGAGCAGGAGCCCGGAGACGGAAUCUGAGACAAGAUUCCGGGCCCUACGGGGCGCAGCAGGCGCGAAACCUUUACACUGCACGAACGUGCGAUAAGGGAACUCCGAGUGCGAGGGCAUACCGUCCUCGCUUUUCUGUACCGUAGGGUGGUACAGGAACAAGGACUGGGCAAGACCGGUGCCAGCCGCCGCGGUAAUACCGGCAGUCCGAGUGAUGGCCGAUAUUAUUGGGCCUAAAGCGUCCGUAGCUGGCCGGGUAGGUCCGUCGGGAAAUCCACUGGCCCAACCAGUGGGCGGCCGGCGGAAACCACCUGGCUCGGGACCGGAAGACCCGAGGGGUACGUCCGGGGUAGGAGUGAAGUCCCGUAAUCCUGGACGGACCGCCGAUGGCGAAAGCACCUCGGGAGGACGGAUCCGACAGUGAGGGACGAAAGCUAGGGUCUCGAACCGGAUUAGAUACCCGGGUAGUCCUAGCCGUAAACGAUGCUCGCUAGGUUGUGCCGCCGGCUACGAGCCGGCGGUGUGCCG
RNAcentral lists this ribosomal RNA (712 nucleotides) under uncultured archaeon. RNAcentral's name for it is "partial 16S ribosomal RNA". It matches the Rfam family "Archaeal small subunit ribosomal RNA", at positions 95 to 803 of the family's 1478-position model. The record is from RNAcentral.